RNAcentral lists this transfer RNA (76 nucleotides) under Verrucomicrobiales bacterium. Its description in RNAcentral is "tRNA-Lys". It matches the Rfam family "tRNA". From Rfam's summary of the family: Transfer RNA (tRNA) molecules are approximately 80 nucleotides in length. RNAcentral also lists the same sequence under 2 other names. Lineage: Bacteria; Pseudomonadati; Verrucomicrobiota; Verrucomicrobiia; Verrucomicrobiales. The record is from RNAcentral.
GGGUGGAUAGCUCAGUUGGUAGAGCAGCGGCCUUUUAAGCCGUUGGUCCUGGGUUCGAGUCCCAGUCCACCUACCA